RNAcentral lists this ribosomal RNA (510 nucleotides) under uncultured bacterium. RNAcentral describes it as "partial 16S ribosomal RNA". It matches the Rfam family "Bacterial small subunit ribosomal RNA", at positions 28 to 507 of the family's 1533-position model. The record is from RNAcentral.
GACGAACGCUGGCGGCGUGCUUAACACAUGCAAGUCGAACGAAGAGCGAUGGAAGCUUGCUUCUAUCAAUCUUAGUGGCGCACGGGUGAGUAACGCGUAAUCAACCUGCCCUUCAGAGGGGGACAACAGUUGGAAACGACUGCUAAUGCCGCAUACGAUCUGACCUCGGCAUCGAGGAUAGAUGAAAGGUGGCCUCUAUUUAUAAGCUAUCACUGAAGGAGGGGAUUGCGUCUGAUUAGCUAGUUGGAGGGGUAACGGCCCACCAAGGCAAUGAUCAGUAGCCGGUCUGAGAGGAUGAACGGCCACAUUGGGACUGAGACACGGCCCAGACUCCUACGGGAGGCAGCAGUGGGGAAUCUUCCGCAAUGGACGAAAGUCUGACGGAGCAACGCCGCGUGAGUGAUGACGGCCUUCGGGUUGUAAAGCUCUGUUAAUCGGGACGAAAGGCCUUCUUGCGAAUAGUUAGAAGGAUUGACGGUACCGGAAUAGAAAGCCACGGCUAACUACGUG